This 736-nucleotide long non-coding RNA is filed under the name Manihot esculenta (cassava). RNAcentral's name for it is "long non-coding RNA (MESC_LNC001816)". The record is from RNAcentral. Lineage: Eukaryota; Viridiplantae; Streptophyta; Magnoliopsida; Malpighiales; Euphorbiaceae.
GGUUACGCAUGCAGAUACUGAUGUGGUGAUUGUGGGUGCUGGCUCUGCUGGCCUCUCUUGUGCUUAUGAGCUUAGCAAGAACCCAUCUGUGAAGGUUGCCAUUGUUGAGCAAUCUGUUAGCCCUGGUGGUGGUGCUUGGCUCGGUGGCCAGCUCUUCUCUGCCAUGGUAAUCAAAAUCCCUUUUUGCAGAGCAGAAUCUAAAUACUUGUUUCUUUAAAACUGAUCUUUCGUAUAUAUGUUUUGUUGGUCAGGUGGUUCGCAAACCUGCUCAACUCUUCCUUGAUGAGCUAGGCAUCGAGUACGAUGAAGCAGACAACUAUGUAGUAAUCAAGCAUGCUGCCCUGUUCACAUCCACAAUUAUGAGCAAACUCCUAGCCCGCCCCAAUGUUAAGCUUUUCAACGCAGUGGCUGCCGAGGACCUGAUAGUGAAGAAUGGAAGAGUGGGUGGCGUGGUCACCAACUGGGCUCUUGUGUCAAUGAACCACGACACACAGUCUUGCAUGGACCCCAAUGUAAUGGAGGCCAAAGUAGUCGUAAGCUCUUGUGGCCAUGAUGGACCCUUUGGUGCCACUGGAGUCAAAAGGCUGAAGAGCAUUGGCAUGAUUGAGAAUGUCCCAGGGAUGAAAGCUCUGGACAUGAACACUGCUGAAGAUGCCAUUGUUAGGCUUACCAGAGAGAUUGUGCCAGGAAUGAUUGUCACGGGCAUGGAAGUUGCAGAGAUUGAUGGCGCUCCAAG